AUGCUCACUUUGGCAACACAUAUACUAAAAUUGGAAUGAUACAGAGGUUAGCAUGGCCCUUGCACAAGGAUGACACACAAAUUCAUGAAGGGUUCCAUAUUUUU
Small nuclear RNA from Ictidomys tridecemlineatus (thirteen-lined ground squirrel), 104 nucleotides. The record is from Ensembl. NCBI's taxonomy places the organism in Eukaryota, Metazoa, Chordata, Mammalia, Rodentia, Sciuridae.